This 443-nucleotide ribosomal RNA is filed under the name uncultured bacterium. RNAcentral's name for it is "partial 16S ribosomal RNA". It matches the Rfam family "Bacterial small subunit ribosomal RNA", at positions 338 to 795 of the family's 1533-position model. The record is from RNAcentral.
CCUACGGGGGGCAGCAGUGGGGAAUAUUGGGCAAUGGGCGCAACCCUGACCCAGCAACGCCGCGUGAGGGAAGACGGCCCUCGGGUUGUAAACUUCUUUUAUCAGGGACUAAGCAAGUGACGGUACCUGAUGAAUAAGCCACGGCUAACUACGUGCCCGCAGCCGCGGUAAUACGUAGGUGGCACGCGUUAUCCGGAUUUACUGGGUGUAAAGGGCGUGUAGGCGGGAGAGCAAGUCAGAUGUGAAAACUAUGGGCUCAACCUAUAGCCUGCAUUUGAAACUGUACUUCUUGAGUGCUGGAGAGGCAAGCGGAAUUCCGGGGGUAGCGGUGAAAUGCGUAGAUAUACGGAGGAACACCAGUGGCGAAGGCGGAUUGCUGGACAGUAACUGACGCUGAGGCGCGAAAGCGUGGGGAGCAAACAGGAUUAGAUACCCCUGUAGUC